UGCACCAUGCUGCCUGCCUCUGAUGAAUGGCUUCUCAAAGAGUUUAGAACUGGAUGUUACCGUGAAGAUUCCCUCAUUCCAUCAUCUUAUUUUACUAAGGAAGAACUGAGAUCAAAGUAAGGGAAGUGAUUUGCCCAAAGACACAUAGGAAAUGGAUAGCAGAAUGGAGAUUGGGACUCAUAAUCUCAGACUUCAAAUGUUUUGAAUCAUGCUACCUUCAAAACCAUUGAUCAUUUUCUUUGAGAUUUAUCUACACUGGGGAGAUUUCUAGGAUCUUCUUUUUGAAGAAGCAAGGUAGAAGAUACCAAUGUGAAGAUUUUCUCUUUUGUUUGGGGCCAGAUCCAUAUCAAUACUCUUAAAUGAUGGAAGUUGCCUAGAUCCCUAGCUUGGAAAGCUGAUACACAGAGAAUCAGACUAUUCAAAAGUGAAAGAAAGCUCAGAGCCAUCUAGCACCAUCUAUACUUGAGUUAUAAUCUCCUGCACAACAAACCCAACAAGUGGCUAUCCAGUCUUUUCUUGGAGGACUGGAGGGAGGGGAAACCCACUAUCUCCUAAGGUCACUCGCCAGAGACAAUUUCUGCUACAAUAACAGUGCCCUGAGGUCCUCCUGUGUUGACCAGAGCUCCAAGAAAGUUCUAUUUCAAUCUUCCACCUUGAAAACUGAGGUUGCAAUGGAAACAAUAGAGACUUCCCAGUUAAUUCAACCCAAUGAAAGACUCUAGAGAAUGCAUUGUGAGCUACCUUCUUUAUGAGCUCAAGAGCAUCCAAGCAUUCUCCCUGGGGACAUGGAAGAACACUGAUUUUGGGAACCAGCCCAAUGACUGAGGUAGCAGCCCUUUCCUCACCAUCUGUGGGCAGAACAGAAUCACUGGCUCUUGUGGGGAUAUAUUGUCUACUUCUUGGACACAGGUUUGGAAAAUAGGACUUUGCUGACAAAGUCAAAUCUGACUUCUCAGAGGUGAAGAAGUUACAGUCUUAGUGGCUGUUUUCCUCCCAUUUUGCUUGAUUUUUUAACCUUAUAGUCCUACAUUUUCCUCCUUUUUAUAAUUUUAGCUUUUGGAAACUAUUGUUCUGAAAGGACACAGUUUGGCAUGGUGGGAAGAGAGUUUAUUUGGACAUGAAACAGCUAAGUUCAAAUUCCAGUCUGGCAUUUUAAUGUCUUUAAGACUUUGGGCAAUUUCUUCAUCUAUAACUAAAGAGAGUAGACUAAAUCACCGUAAGAUCUUUUCCAGCGCCAAAUCUCUGGUUUCAAUUCAAUAAAUAUCGACUGAGCACCUACUAGAGUAGAAGGAUAUAAAAAUUAAUCAUUCAA
Antechinus flavipes (yellow-footed antechinus) is the source of this 1312-nucleotide long non-coding RNA. RefSeq lists it as uncharacterized. NCBI's taxonomy places the organism in Eukaryota, Metazoa, Chordata, Mammalia, Dasyuromorphia, Dasyuridae. The transcript is spliced from 5 exons. The record is from RefSeq and is a predicted model, not a curated record.